AAAAAGGAAGGAUGCUGCUGUCUCAGCAAGCUGUAUCCCCGUAACCUUUAGGAACAUCGCGUUCAUCGAUUAUUUAAUGAAUCGUGGACGCGUCCAUGUGUUUGACAAUUGCAUGUCCUUUAGUUAAGUAAAUGAUGGCACAUUU
This is a small nucleolar RNA of Phragmites australis (common reed), 145 nucleotides long. RefSeq annotates it as small nucleolar RNA snoR74. The record is from RefSeq and is a predicted model, not a curated record. Lineage: Eukaryota; Viridiplantae; Streptophyta; Magnoliopsida; Poales; Poaceae. The transcript has a single exon.